This is a long non-coding RNA of Oenanthe melanoleuca, 1085 nucleotides long. RefSeq lists it as uncharacterized. NCBI's taxonomy places the organism in Eukaryota, Metazoa, Chordata, Aves, Passeriformes, Muscicapidae. The transcript is spliced from 2 exons. The record is from RefSeq and is a predicted model, not a curated record.
CCUCCCGCCGGGCCCUGCCCCGAGCUGCUGUGCCUCACGAACCCCCUUUGCGCAGAGUCAGACUGCAAAAUAGCUCUGAAACCAUCGAGCCCAAGCUGUGGCCGCGCACCACCUGGUCACCCAGCCCACAGCGCUGAGCGUCGUUCCUUGAACGCCUCCAGGACCAAAAAGGACAAGGAUUUCCACAGAGACAAGAAAUGAUGGCUUUGGGCAGUGACUUGAGCUGUGGCAAACCACAUCCAAGUCUCCCUUGUGUAAUAUGCUUCCUUUAUUUUCUAACUGAACAACAGCUUCAACAUAGAGCCAAGAAAAGCAAGUGCAUUCCCAGAGGCUACCAGGCAGCAGAAAGCAGACAUGGGGCUGUGAUCUCAGGGAAAUUCUGCCCUUUUGAGAAACACAUGGAAAAAGUGCACCCAGUCAUUCCCCAGGAAACCUGGUCUCCCCUUUUGAUAAUUCAAAUCAGACAAGAACCUUGGGCAAUUGCUUCAAGAGCAGAGAGAAUAAUUUAAAAAAUCCUCCCUCAAGAGAAGCAUUGCAAGUGUCUGCUCUCAAUAAACAAGUUAUUCCAUAAAGCAAGCACUGGCACCUGCUCUUUUUCAGUAAGUCAGAAAAAAACACCAGCUUUCAGGAGGUGGCCUCUGCAUUUCAUCACACAAACUCCAUGGCUUCCAGUCAGUUAUUACAGACAAAGAUCAGAUCAAGACAGUCCAAACCUAUCUCCAAGAUCUGUUUAAGGGUUUAUAUUAACAGACUUGGAAACCAGCUUGCUUAAUCUGCAACCAAUCAUACAGACCAAGCUUCAGAGGAGAUAACAAUAAACACUGAUACACUGUUGUAGCUUCAAAAGAUUUAUUUUCAGUCCUUGAAGUAGACUGGUGCUGCUUUUGCUCAUAAUUUUUCUGUCCGUUACAGUUUUGGUUUUAACACAAACAGUAGUGAGAAUGUUUUUGUUGCUUUUUUUAAUUAUUUAAAAGUGCAGCCUUUGGCAGGAACAAUCAGCCUAGUAGAGUUAAUCAUCUGUAUUUCCUUUAAAAAAUGUACUUGCUAAACCAUGAUUUUAAAAAAGUUAAAAGCUGUCAAGAACA